Non-coding RNA from Hordeum vulgare subsp. vulgare (domesticated barley), 125 nucleotides. NCBI's taxonomy places the organism in Eukaryota, Viridiplantae, Streptophyta, Magnoliopsida, Poales, Poaceae. The record is from Rfam.
AAUAUACUCCCUCCAUGCGGAAAUAUUUGUCAUAUGAAUGAAUGUAUCUAAAUGUAUUUUAGUUCUAGAUACAUUUAUUUUUAUCUUUUUUUAUGACAAGUAAUUCCGGACGAAGGGAGUAGUAG